This 481-nucleotide ribosomal RNA is filed under the name uncultured bacterium. RNAcentral describes it as "partial 16S ribosomal RNA". It matches the Rfam family "Bacterial small subunit ribosomal RNA", at positions 30 to 507 of the family's 1533-position model. The record is from RNAcentral.
UUGAACGCUGGCGGCAUGCCUUACACAUGCAAGUCGAACGGUAACGGGCCUUCGGGUGCCGACGAGUGGCGAACGGGUGAGUAAUACAUCGGAACGUGCCCGAUCGUGGGGGAUAACGAGGCGAAAGCUUUGCUAAUACCGCAUACGAUCUACGGAUGAAAGCAGGGGACCGCAAGGCCUUGCGCGGACGGAGCGGCCGAUGGCAGAUUAGGUAGUUGGUGGGAUAAAAGCUUACCAAGCCGACGAUCUGUAGCUGGUCUGAGAGGAUGAUCAGCCACACUGGGACUGAGACACGGCCCAGACUCCUACGGGAGGCAGCAGUGGGGAAAUUUGGACAAUGGGCGCAAGCCUGAUCCAGCCAUGCCGCGUGCAGGAUGAAGGCCUUCGGGUUGUAAACUGCUUUUGUACGGAACGAAAAGCCUUCUUUUAAUACAGGAGGGUCAUGACGGUACCGUGAGAAUAAGCACCGGCUAACUACGUG